AACGACUCUCGGCAACGGAUAUCUCGGCUCACGCAUCGAUGAAGAACGUAGCAAAAUGCGAUACUUGGUGUGAAUUGCAGAAUCCCGUGAACCAUCGAGUUUUUGAACGCAAGUUGCGCCCAAAGCCAUCCGGCCGAGGGCACGCCUGCCUGGGCGUCACGCA
RNAcentral lists this ribosomal RNA (163 nucleotides) under Scorzonera angustifolia. Its description in RNAcentral is "5.8S ribosomal RNA". It matches the Rfam family "5.8S ribosomal RNA". Rfam says of the family: 5.8S ribosomal RNA (5.8S rRNA) is a component of the large subunit of the eukaryotic ribosome. It is transcribed by RNA polymerase I as part of the 45S precursor that also contains 18S and 28S rRNA. The record is from RNAcentral. Lineage: Eukaryota; Viridiplantae; Streptophyta; Magnoliopsida; Asterales; Asteraceae.